Suricata suricatta (meerkat) is the source of this 677-nucleotide long non-coding RNA. RefSeq lists it as uncharacterized. Lineage: Eukaryota; Metazoa; Chordata; Mammalia; Carnivora; Herpestidae. The transcript is spliced from 3 exons. The record is from RefSeq and is a predicted model, not a curated record.
UUCAAGUAGCCACAGGCUAGUGCUGGCCUUCAAAUGUUAAGGCCGAUUCCAGACCUAUGAACAUCAUCUCCAGGACUUGCUCUAGAUGUUUCAAAAGAAUAGGGUCAGUCUACAUAUAAAGGAUGGAAGACAAUUUUGGCUGAAGACAGAAUAUAAAUGUUACCAGCUUUGACAAUGUAAAAGUAAAAGACAGAUGAGAAAAGCUGGGAGAUGGAAAAUGGAAAAAGGACAGCAAGUAGGAGUGAGUGAUCAAAGGAGGCCAUGCUUCUAGGGAAGGAUGGAGAUGACUACGUGGUGGGUUUUAUGUGACGAAGAGAGUGGGAAACGUUUGGGACCAACUUCCUCUUGUCCACUCACCUAUCUUCCAGCCACCACUGAACACCAAACCGUCAUGGACCUUGACCAAGGUUUGUCUUUCAGCACCCUUUCCCUGUCAGCAUACUCCUUAUCUGGGACCCCGGCAAACAGCCCAGGCUGAACAGAAAGGACGACAGAUUCCAGAACUUGAGUGUGGACCCGAGUUAUCCCACACGUUAGCUGUGUGGCCUGGAGAAGGCUUUCUCGUGUCCUUGCAAACGCUGUCCUCAUCUGUGACACGGGAGGAGCACCUGUUCAACCACCAUACAGGGUGUGCCCCGAUGAAAUAACAUUCUCGAAAACGCUGUGCAAACUGCAAA